UGGGGAAUAUUGGACAAUGGGGGGAACCCUGAUCCAGCCAUGCCGCGUGUGUGAAGAAGGCCUUAUGGUUGUAAAGCACUUUAAGCGAGGAGGAGGGUACUGGUAUUAAUACUACCAGCUACUGGACGUUACUCGCAGAAUAAGCACCGGCUAACUCUGUGCCAGCAGCCGCGGUAAUACAGAGGGUGCAAGCGUUAAUCGGAAUUACUGGGCGUAAAGCGCGCGUAGGUGGUUCGUUAAGUUGAAUGUGAAAGCCCCGGGCUCAACCUGGGAAAUGCAUCCAAAACAGGCGAGCUAGAGUAGGGCAGAGGGUGGUGGAAUUUCCUGUGUAGCGGUGAAAUGCGUAGAUAUAGGAAGGAACACCAGUGGCGAAGGCGACCACCUGGGCUCAUACUGACACUGAGGUGCGAAAGCGUGGGGAGCAAACAGG
Molecule: ribosomal RNA, 430 nt
Filed under: Pseudomonadota bacterium
Lineage: Bacteria; Pseudomonadati; Pseudomonadota
Description: Proteobacteria bacterium partial 16S ribosomal RNA
Rfam family: Bacterial small subunit ribosomal RNA
Source: RNAcentral